GUGGAACAUGUGAAGGUUGUAACCCUGCGAGGCAAUUUUUGGCACGGCGUGUUUUAAGUCUGUGACGUGGCGUGUAGCUGCUCUUGCGACGCAUGCAAUGUAAAACAGCGCCGUUUCCUUCUGGGACGAGACUCUGCUCAGUGACCUGAACCCGCAGAACCUCUGGGGCAACACCCCCGAACCACAAACGAGAAGCGGGAGCAAAGGCAGGCCGGCGUGGUCUGAAGCAGCCUGGCCUGGCUGCGGCAGGCAGGGGAACCCCGUGGUGGUCAGCGACCCCCCAGAAGUUAACCAAGCUGAAGUCCAGCCCUAGAGCACGCUGGAGACAGAUCAGAGCAUCCUGAUUCAGGAGAGCAGAAACCAUCACUGCUGAGCGAUGGAGGGACUCGUCGUAUGCUCCCUGAAAGCUGAGAGCAGCAGCAAGGUGCGUGGUCAACUGCGAGCUGCUCCAAUGAACAUGGUUCCUAGCCGGGGCCGUGUAGCAGAGAGGGCUGUCCUUGUGCUCGCAGCGCAGACGACUUCGAAGGGAAAUGCAAAGCUGACUGCAAUGGGGCAUUUUCCCUGGUGUAUUUUAUACUUGCGUACCAGGAUCGAGGAUAAAGGGGCAAACAUCAAGAAAGCUUGAGGUAUUUCACAAGCCAGCACUUGCCAGUGGCCUGAUAUCCCAGGGGAGGGACUGCACUAUGCAGGGCUCGAGCUGGGACAUACAGUGACUACGGACACAUUUGGGAGAGGGAGACUAGGGAAAAUGUCUUUGGGAGUCUGUUGGUAAAUCUUGUUGCCAACCUCCCCAGGCGUUUGGAGAACAGAAGCCAUCUCAAACUGAAUUUGUUUUGCCCGAAAACCUGGUUGCUGUUACAGCCGCCAAGUACCAAAAUCACAGACAACGUUGCUGUGCUGCGGGAAAGGCAAGUGCCGUGCUGGGAGGUAAAACAGCCUUAAGGCCUGUGGGAUGCACGAAGGAUCCUUGUGCUUCCAGAGCAGCAGAAAGGUCUCAUCUCGCGUGCUCUGUCUGGAUUUGGGCAAUGGGCCUCAGGAAGGAGCCAGAGGAGAGCUUGGAGAUGUGCCUCCGGGGAAAGCUCGGCAGGCCGAGGCUGCCGGGAUCACUCACGUCGAGGUUGUGUGUGCAGAGAAGCCAAUCCUUGGCCCUCGCUCUCCAGACUUAAAGGCUCGUGUUGUGGUUUCAGCCGGCCACCAUCACAGUUACCUCCUGAAACAGUGAACUUCCCGCAGCAGGUGUUUGCGGUUCAGUAGUUCAGAUCAUCCAGGAGAAAAUCUGCAGCCCAAACUUUUCUGUUUCUGCUUGGAAAUGCGGUUUGAGGAGAGGGAGCCUUCUCCCACUCCCACAGCACUCAUCUAGCUUGAACUCAGCGGAGGCAACAAAUCUCC
Dromaius novaehollandiae (emu) is the source of this 1389-nucleotide long non-coding RNA. RefSeq lists it as uncharacterized. The record is from RefSeq and is a predicted model, not a curated record. NCBI's taxonomy places the organism in Eukaryota, Metazoa, Chordata, Aves, Casuariiformes, Dromaiidae. The transcript is spliced from 2 exons.